GGUGAGAGCUAUCUGGGUAUGACAUCUGUCACUCCAUGGAUUACUGAGGUUGAUUGAGCUGAUCUGCCUCUUUAGGCUGCUGUCUCCUCCUUCUCUUACUGUCACAUAUGUCACAGAGCUCUCCCCAAAACUGUGUACUCCAUGGAAGGUGGACGAGGGCAAAUUUGCCCAAGGAUGGCUUUCCCAGACCAGAAGAGGAGUGGUCUUUAGUCAAGGGUAUAUGAGUGGCUACAUUCCCAUGCUAGUAACUCCAAAUAAGUUCUCAGAUUCCAAAUUAUGGCUACAAAAGUAAUCGCUUAUAUAAGGCAGAUUUGUCUCCUUGCUUGCAUCUUUAAAUAAGACAAUGAUCUGUUCUA
This 356-nucleotide small nuclear RNA is filed under the name Meriones unguiculatus (Mongolian gerbil). Its description in RNAcentral is "7SK RNA (ENSMUGG00000007136.1)". It matches the Rfam family "7SK RNA". Rfam says of the family: 7SK was discovered as an abundant small nuclear RNA in the mid-70s but a possible function has only recently been suggested. Two independent studies have found that 7SK RNA binds the CDK9/cyclin T complex (known as elongation factor P-TEFb). P-TEFb activates transcription by phosphorylating the C-terminal domain of RNA polymerase II. Lineage: Eukaryota; Metazoa; Chordata; Mammalia; Rodentia; Muridae. The record is from RNAcentral.